This 481-nucleotide ribosomal RNA is filed under the name uncultured bacterium. Its description in RNAcentral is "partial 16S ribosomal RNA". It matches the Rfam family "Bacterial small subunit ribosomal RNA", at positions 28 to 507 of the family's 1533-position model. The record is from RNAcentral.
GAUGAACGCUGGCGGCGUGCUUAACACAUGCAAGUCGAACGAAGCACUUUAUUUGAUUUCCUUCGGGACUGAUUAUUUUGUGACUGAGUGGCGGACGGGUGAGUAACGCGUGGGUAACCUGCCUUGUACAGGGGGAUAACAGUUGGAAACGGCUGCUAAUACCGCAUAAGCGCACAGCAUCGCAUGAUGCAGUGUGAAAAACUCCGGUGGUAUAAGAUGGACCCGCGUUGGAUUAGCUAGUUGGUGAAGUAACGGCCCACCAAGGCGACGAUCCAUAGCCGACCUGAGAGGGUGACCGGCCACAUUGGGACUGAGACACGGCCCAAACUCCUACGGGAGGCAGCAGUGGGGAAUAUUGCACAAUGGGCGAAAGCCUGAUGCAGCGACGCCGCGUGAGCGAAGAAGUAUUUCGGUAUGUAAAGCUCUAUCAGCAGGGAAGAUAAUGACGGUACCUGACUAAGAAGCACCGGCUAAAUACGUG